GAAGCUGUAAUGUGCUUGCUCUUUUGGGAAAACAGAGGUGUAAGGAAACAGGCUGAAGAGAGGUGACCAAAGCGCCGUGUCCCUCCUGGUCCUGGCACCCAGUGUCCAGCUCCACAAGACAAAAAUGCUUCAGGCUUUUGAGCCUUCUUUCCCUCAAAUGGAAAAAGCUCUUUUCAAAUUCAGAAACACCCUUUUACAUCACUGAUUUGGAUCCUUUUGAUGGAACAAAAUAGGAAGUCUACUUGAAAAUGAGAAAGAAAAUGGGAAAUGUGCAAAGGCAGAGUAUGAGAUCUCACAAUUCUGGACUGCAAUUCAUUGACCUCAAGGUGCAAAACAGGUUAAUUUCUAGCUUUUUUUUCUUAACAAUGAUAACUUUCCAGCCCACCCCAGCAGAACUCUGAAGAAGACCAAAGUUACUGUUCCUCCACAGACCAUAUUUAUAAUUUUUUCAGCCAGCUCUGAAAUUACUGAGCUCUGGAGACAUCAUUUGAUUGUCGUGCUGAAAUAUGAAGAGAUGAACCAGAUCUGACUGCUGGGGUGGAUGCUCCAAAAGUAACGCCAGUGACGUUUCGGAAAAAACCAGAAAGGCUGGAGAAAUGGGCUGACAGGAACCUCAUACAGUUCAGCAAGAGCAACUCCAAAGUCCUGUACCUGGGAAGGAACAACUCCAUGGACCAGGACAUACUGGGGGCCAAACAUCUGGAAAGCAGCUCUGCAGAACAGGACCUGGAGGUCCUGGUAGACACAACGUUGAAUGGGAGCUGUCAACGUGCCCUUGCCACCCAGAGGUCUAAUGAGGAGGCAGGAGGGGAGCAUCCAGCAGAUGGAGUUUUUGUUUUCUUCCUUCCCUGCUCCUUUAUCAACAAAAAGAUCCUCCCUUGGUAAGCCCUCAGGAUGCCAAUUCAAGGAAACACAUGGAAUCCGAUAGUCUGUGUGACUGGCCAUUCCUCAAAGUCUAAGUUUCCAGCUGGGGAUGAAACAGCAGCAAAUGUGGGGUGAAUGUGGAAAGAGCAAGAACCAGGUGAUGGAACAGAAAGUCGUAUUUAGCAUUUGACCAAACGUUGGACAAUGAGAUACCAUGUCAUCCCGAUGAAUAUUUGUGUAGAAGUGGUAAAUAUGAGCAGUACCAGGCUGACUGGGAGACCUCAUAUAGAGCCUCCACCUUAGUGUUGUGCCCUGGGCUGUCACUUGGAUGAUUUCCAGGCACAGGAGAAAGCAAGCUCUUUCCCUGCAAAGUCUCUUGUCCACCAUGCCUUGGUUUCUUCACACCAAGUAGGCAAGUCCUGCAGAUCUGGGGUAAAAAAGCACAGCCUGGAGUACCUCAGAUUUGAGGGCAAUAUUUAUGGAGGCUCUGUCAGCCUGCAGAAAGUCUGGGAGAGGAUGCUGGUCGUGCAUCAAAUCCUUAGGCACAGAAAUGCCUCACAGCAGAGGAAAAUGUACAGCAGCAGCUGAAGAGGACUCUGAGUUUCAGGGUCUUAGUCAAAGAGAAAACAUCAGUACAAAUGGUUAAAGGGUGACUCAGAAUAAGCCACAUUGUAUCUAUUAUUCCUGGUCUUUUUGUGCAAGAAAAUUGCUCUCUCUGAAAAAAAAAAUUGGAAAUUAAGGCCAUCCAUCCUCCCAAGCAUAGAAAAACACAAACCCUCAUUAGGUGGGCUGAAAAGCAAUUCUCAGGCCUUUAUCUGACAAGCUAAGAGCAUGAUUCUGUCUAUAGCAUUUAAGGGGAAAUGAUGAAUUACCUGGCAUGGGUUCAGUGCCUGAGCUUGGCAUUGGGUAAACUCACAAAGAAGCCUGAAGCCAAUCAAGCAACUUUGUACAAAUCCUGCUGAUAGCAGCCCUUUGGGGCACACAGUCAGGACAUAGACCAACAAAAUAAUUCUGAAAAUAAUAAUGAACAUCCCAUGGAAGAACAUGUGCUUGGAGCAUGGCUUACAAGAGCAGCUGAGCUUGUAGCCUGGGAACACAUGGCUGAGCCAUGAGAGACACUGGCUGGCAGAAGGAAAUAAGGGGAACAAUUUUGUACAGGCUGUUUUCAGACCCUGAUUUGAA
Phalacrocorax carbo (great cormorant) is the source of this 2046-nucleotide non-coding RNA. The record is from RefSeq and is a predicted model, not a curated record. Lineage: Eukaryota; Metazoa; Chordata; Aves; Suliformes; Phalacrocoracidae.